Molecule: ribosomal RNA, 515 nt
Filed under: uncultured bacterium
Lineage: Bacteria
Description: partial 16S ribosomal RNA
Rfam family: Bacterial small subunit ribosomal RNA
Source: RNAcentral
UAGGGAAUCUUCCACAAUGGACGCAAGUCUGAUGGAGCAACGCCGCGUGAGUGAAGAAGGUCUUCGGAUCGUAAAGCUCUGUUGUUGGUGAAGAAGGAUAGAGGCAGUAACUGGUCUUUAUUUGACGGUAAUCAACAGAAAGUCACGGCUAACUACGUGCCAGCAGCCGCGGUAAUACNUAGGUGGCAAGCGUUGUCCGGAUUUAUUGGGCGUAAAGCGAGCGCAGGCGGAAUGAUAAGUCUGAUGUGAAAGCCCACGGCUCAACCGUGGAACUGCAUCGGAAACUGUCAUUCUUGAGUGCAGAAGAGGAGAGUGGAACUCCAUGUGUAGCGGUGGAAUGCGUAGAUAUAUGGAAGAACACCAGUGGGCGAAGGCGGCUCUCUGGUCUGCAACUGACGCUGAGGCUCGAAAGCAUGGGUAGCGAACAGGAUUAGAUACCCCGGUAGUCCAUGCCGUAAACGAUGAGCGCUAGGUGUUGGGGACUUUCCGGUCCUCAGUGCCGCAGCAAACGCAUU